CAUCCUUUACAUUCUUCCAAAUAUAUAAGUACAAUCACUCGAACCUCACCCUAUACAUCAUCUACUCUCCAAUACCAAAAGGGGUGAUAGCUAAUACAAAAGGGAGGUAGCUAAUGCGACUAGAACGCCGGGCCCUUACCGCGAUCCUCCCGCUCACCAGGGACACCCGAACUCGAACCUGUAGUAAAAAUGGGGGUGAGAACUAACUUCCUUAGUUCCCAGUGGGUUCGGCCGCCGACUCCGCCGAUCUCCCCACUAGGUCCAAGCGGGCACAAGUAGAUAUACCAAUAGAUGGAUAGACAGAUAGAUAUAUAGAUAAGGAGCUGUAAAUGACGGAAAUGAAGCUAUUCUACUAUGCCCAAUCAUAAAUGUAUGAAUGCAUGUCCAAUGAAUUGGUAAGCAACUAACCUGUCAUCAUGUCCAAAGGUGAAGCUAUUCACUCGUUCAAUAACAUCAUUUACUUGUUCAUUAAUCUCAUGGCUUACCCGAAGGCUCGCCUACAGCUCACUAGCCAUCUCGACACGUAGGGAGAAUCAACUCACACUACGGACCCGAGACCGUCUGGCGGGGCCAUAUAGGCAAUCCCUGGCGUGACCAACAUCCGGAGCGCACUACUUGUGUGGGGCUUCCAUCACAAGAUUUAACAGACCGUGAGCAUGAUCCAAUCCUCUAAGCUCGAGGAUACCCUGUCCUCUAGAGUCACAAUCAUCAUAUAGUCCAUAGGUGUCACAUACACUAUUAACUAGAUUGUCCGUUUGUUCGCUAUCGACUAGAUGCCACUCGUUCAUGGUUUACUAUUGACUAGAUGCCACUCGUUCUUUGUUCAUCAUUAGACUAGCCAUUGAGCCCAUCAUUUUCUCUACACUAUAGGAUUCACAAGACUCGACCCAAUCCUCACCAAUCCUCUAUAUCAAGUAUCCAAUACAUGCUACGAUAUCAUCAAGGAAGGCAUAAGGAAAGGCAAUGCACAAUAAUCCUAUAAUGCAAUAAUACAAGAUGCAGAAUCGAAAUGUACUAAGACAUAGAAGGGAGCCCGAUUGCUUCGGGAUGGACACCACCCACCUCUUGGCGAUGCCGCGAUAGUAGAAAGCUCGACGUUGCGGUUCUUGCACGCCGCUUAAACUCCUCGGGGCAAAGCGAGCCCUCGAGUACCCGAUUCGGCGAUAACUCCGCACCCGCUCGUCGGAUCGGCAAACCGUCUUCGCCGACGCGUUCAGAGACCUAGCAAUUAGGUUAGCGACCCAACAAAUUAGAUCAAAACCCUAGAUUUGCCAAAAUCCCAAUUCUAAACCCUAGGUCUCAACAACGGAGAAAUCCGUGGUGCGAGCUUCGAUUUCGAGCUCGAACCUUCUAUUUAUCCCCAAUAGGUUCCAUUUGAACCAAUUCUAAACCAUAAAAACCCAGAACCCUAGAAUUUCCAUUAAAGGGUUGGAAGCUUACCUCUAACCUAAGCUCCAAGCUUGAGGGAGAGGGAGAGAAGAUGACUUUCCUCUUCUUCUUAGUCUUCUCCUUCUCUUUCUUCUUCUUUCUUCCCUUCUUCUCCUUCCUCUUCUUCUUCUCCUUCUUCUCUUUCUUUUCUUUUCUUUU
RNAcentral lists this long non-coding RNA (1587 nucleotides) under Ananas comosus (pineapple). Its description in RNAcentral is "long non-coding RNA (ACOM_LNC005410)". The record is from RNAcentral. Lineage: Eukaryota; Viridiplantae; Streptophyta; Magnoliopsida; Poales; Bromeliaceae.